AUCUAUUCCUCCCCGUCCCUACCCCACUAUGAAUCAGCCUCCUUAUAUCAGAGAAAACAUUCUGCAUUUUUUUUUGGGGGGGGGGAUUGGCUAACUUCAUUUAGCAUUAUCUUCUCCAACGCCAUCCAUUUACCUGCAAAUGCCAUGAUUUUAUUCUCUUUUAUUGCUGAGGAGGAGAUGAUUUUUGAGUUGGUCCUCAAGCUUUAAUAGAAGUUGAUCAGGUAGAUUCAGGAGAGACUGAUGCCUCCACUCCAUGGUCUGCAUGAGGUGUCACUCAUGCAGAGAUGAGAAGACUGUGUCAGGGCCCCCCCAGGUCUGCCAAAGUCUGGCACAGUGGGUGCAUGGGGAGCCAGUUCAAACGUCUGAGUGGGGUCAGGGAGUGGUCUCCUUCUAAGGAGAACAGGUACUAUCCUGAAGGUGUUAGGGAGGUAAAUACUUUGAUGCAGAGGGUGGUUAAAAUUGUGUACUUUUAAAAAGCUUUAUUUUAUUGGUUCUUCUUAGUUAUAUAUAACAGUAGAAUCCAUUUUGAUAAAAUUGUACAAGCACAGGAUAUAUCUUAUUCUAAGUAGGACCCCAUUCUUGUGGUUGGACACGAUGGUGGGAUGCACUUAAAUAUUUUCAGAUUUGUUCAUAGGAAAAUCAAGUUAUAUUUAUUCUACUGUCUUUCCUAACCCUAUCCCUCUUCCCUUCUUCCAUUUCCCUUUGUCUAAUCUACUAAACUUCUCUUCUUCCCCUCCUCCUUGCUUCUACAUAUCAGCGAAAACAUUUGACUUUUGGUUUUUUGGGGAUUAGCUUAUUUCAACUAGCAUGAUAACUCUAGAUCCAUCCUUUUACCAGCAAAUGUCAUAAAGUUAUUCUUCUUUAUGGCUCAGUAGUAUCCCAUUGUGUAUAUAUAUCACAAUUUCUUUAUCCAUUCAUCUGUUGUAGGGCACCUAGUUUGGUUCCAUAGCUUAG
Molecule: long non-coding RNA, 954 nt
Filed under: Marmota monax (woodchuck)
Lineage: Eukaryota; Metazoa; Chordata; Mammalia; Rodentia; Sciuridae
Source: RNAcentral